Molecule: long non-coding RNA, 2613 nt
Organism: Homo sapiens (human)
Lineage: Eukaryota; Metazoa; Chordata; Mammalia; Primates; Hominidae
Gene: ABCC6P1
Product: ATP binding cassette subfamily C member 6 pseudogene 1
Source: Ensembl
AGACGCUGGGACCCACGACGACAGAAGGCGCCGAUGGCCGCGCCUGCUGAGCCCUGCGCGGGGCAGGGGGUCUGGAACCAGACAGAGCCUGAACCUGCCGCCACCAGCCUGCUGAGCCUGUGCUUCCUGAGAACAGCAGGGGUCUGGGUACCCCCCAUGUACCUCUGGGUCCUUGGUCCCAUCUACCUCCUCUUCAUCCACCACCAUGGCCGGGGCUACCUCCGGAUGUUCCCCACUCUUCAAAGCCAAGAUGGUGCUUGGAUUCGCCCUCAUAGUCCUGUGUACCUCCAGCGUGGCUGUCGCUCUUUGGAAAAUCCAACAGGGAACGCCUGAGGCCCCAGAAUUCCUCAUUCAUCCUACUGUGUGGCUCACCACGAUGAGCUUCGCAGUGUUCCUGAUUCACACCAAGAGGAAAAAGGGAGUCCAGUCAUCUGGAGUGCUGUUUGGUUACUGGCUUCUCUGCUUUGUCUUGCCAGCUACCAACGCUGCCCAGCAGGCCUCCGGAGCGAACCCCUGUCCAGAGACUGGGGCAGCCUUCCCCUCCAAAGCCACGUUCUGGUGGGUUUCUGGCCUGGUCUGGAGGGGAUACAGGAGGCCACUGAGACCAAAAGACCUCUGGUCGCUUGGGAGAGAAAACUCCUCAGAAGAACUUGUUUCCCGGCUUGAAAAGGAGUGGAUGAGGAACCGCAGUGCAGCCCGGGGGCACAACAAGGCAAUAGCAUUUAAAAGGAAAGGCGGCAGUGGCAUGGAGGCUCCAGAGACUGAGCCCUUCCUACGGCAAGAAGGGAGCCAGUGGCGCCCACUGCUGAAGGCCAUCUGGCAGGUGUUCCAUUCUACCUUCCUCCUGGGGACCCUCAGCCUCGUCAUCAGUGAUGUCUUCAGGUUCACUGUCCCCAAGCUGCUCAGCCUUUUCCUGGAGUUUAUUGGUGAUCCCAAGCCUCCAGCCUGGAAGGGCUACCUCCUCGCCGUGCUGAUGUUCCUCUCGGCCUGCCUGCAAACGCUGUUUGAGCAGCAGAACAUGUACAGGCUCAAGGUGCUGUAGAUGAGGCUGCGGUCGGCCAUCACUGGCCUGGUGUACAGAAAGGCAUCCACAGCAUAUCUGAAGAAAUAUUCAGAAGUUAACUAAUCUCAGAUGAUUUCAGCAGGAGUAAAGAAGAGAAACAGACUCAGAAAUGCCAUUACAACAGUUAAUUAUGUCAAAUUUAUCACCCUGAUUGAUCACGCAGCAUUAACCUCAAGAACGCCAAGCCAAGUUUUUUUGACAAAUGUGAGCCAAGGUUUCCGAAAAACUAGCAGAUAUGACUGUGACUUACAAAAUGGAAAAAGUAAACGAGAAACACAAUUUGAUAUGAUUUAAUAAAAGAUUUGUUUCCACCACUUCUCCUGGGAACCUCAGCACAUUUUCUUUCCACUGACAGUUAUUAUCUCUACCUUUAUUGAACAAAGACACCCGGAACACAGCUGCUGAGGAUCAGUAAAGAAAAUCAUUCUUUUAUUAAUAAGACUGUUAUUAGCAGGAAAAAAAAAUCCAUGUUUGGGAGUUUGCACUGAAGUUACAGGCCAUUUUGAAGAAAUAUGGCUGACUAGUGCCAACAUUAUUUCAGGCAAUUUCAUGAUCAAAUGUCUUAUUAGGUUGUUUAAAAUUUUUAUAGAGAUUGUAAAUCAGAACUAUUUUCUAUUUGCCCUAAAUAUUUAGAUGCUACAGGGAAAGCAGAUCAAAUUAAAGGGUACUGUGCACAUUUUUUUACUGGGAACUCCCAGGGAUAUAAAUCAUUUCGCCUGCAGCAUGGAAUUCUUCAGUACACAUGCUUGUGGAAACAUUCCACGCUCCGCCAGCACGCUCAUUAAAGUGAUGAUUUGGGUUGCAACAACAGUGCCAAGUACUUCCUGUGUUCAACUGGGGACCAUGUGGCAAGACCCAAAGCUUCCCCAGAGAUCCUAUGGGAAUAAGUUUUUUGAGCCACCAUAUUCCAUUAUUUCAGCCUAAAAUAACACCAUGGGACAAGAAUCAGAAGACAGAGGAGCAGACAAAUGUGUGUAGACAUGCUGGAAGGAAUCUUUCUUUUUAGAAACAGGGUCAAUAUCUAUUAAACUUUAAGAUGUGUAUCUCUUGACCUGGCAGUUUCUGUAUUUGAGUUUUAACCUACUGAUAUACCCAUGCAUGUGAAUAAAGUAUCUUCCUGCAUGUAACAGGAUAUUUAAUGUAACCUUGAUUAUAGUUGCAAAUGCUGGGAAACGAUCCAAAUGUCUUUCAAUAUGGCACUGAUUAAAUAAAUUAUGGCACAGUCUCACAAUGAAAAACAAAUGUAGCCAUUAAACAGAAUGAAAUGGGUCUAGCUAAAUUGAAAUAGGACUACCUCUAAGAUAUGUUGUUAAAAAGAAAAAAAAGAAAGUGCAGAGGAACAAGUAUGAUACCAUUUUGUAUUUUUUAACAUAUGCAAGCGUGAUUGUGCCCACACAGAAUACCUUUGAAAAUAAACUCAGUAUUUGCCUCAGUGGAUAAAAACAAGAACCAGCCUUAUUUUCACUGUUAUAUCUUUUGGUGCCACUUUUUGAACUUUUUACCAUAUGUGCAUAUGUAACUUUCUAAAUAAAUUUUGUAAAAAAGAGAAA